GGCAGAUAGUGCAAUGAAUUUAAGCUUCAUAUAUAAAGCUUUUGCUUUUUUUAGAA
RNAcentral lists this transfer RNA (56 nucleotides) under Xyletinus sp. XYL01. RNAcentral's name for it is "tRNA-Leu". The record is from RNAcentral. Lineage: Eukaryota; Metazoa; Arthropoda; Insecta; Coleoptera; Ptinidae.